This 70-nucleotide transfer RNA is filed under the name bovine gut metagenome. It matches the Rfam family "tRNA". From Rfam's summary of the family: Transfer RNA (tRNA) molecules are approximately 80 nucleotides in length. Their secondary structure includes four short double-helical elements and three loops (D, anti-codon, and T loops). The record is from RNAcentral.
CGACUUAGCUCAGUUGGUAGAGCAACGCCCUCGUAACGCGUAGGUCAUAGGUUCAAGUCCUAUAGUCGGC